Molecule: transfer RNA, 70 nt
Filed under: Dipodomys ordii (Ord's kangaroo rat)
Lineage: Eukaryota; Metazoa; Chordata; Mammalia; Rodentia; Heteromyidae
Rfam family: tRNA
About the family: Transfer RNA (tRNA) molecules are approximately 80 nucleotides in length. Their secondary structure includes four short double-helical elements and three loops (D, anti-codon, and T loops). Further hydrogen bonds mediate the characteristic L-shaped molecular structure. tRNAs have two regions of fundamental functional importance: the anti-codon, which is responsible for specific mRNA codon recognition, and the 3' end, to which the tRNAs corresponding amino acid is attached (by aminoacyl-tRNA synthetases). tRNAs cope with the degeneracy of the genetic code in two manners: having more than one tRNA (with a specific anti-codon) for a particular amino acid; and 'wobble' base-pairing, i.e. permitting non-standard base-pairing at the 3rd anti-codon position.
Source: Rfam by way of RNAcentral
GGAAAGGUGGCUCAGCAGUAGAGCGCUUGCUUUGCAUGCAUGAGGCCCUGGGUUCGAUUCCUCAGCCCCA